UCGUCGCCUAUGAAAAUUAUACGUCUUUUACAAAAAAAAUUGUCUGUUAAACCUUCAACAGAUGCAUUUGGUUAUAGCAUGGGAGAAAUUGACUUUAUUUUUAUUUUAUUUUAUUUUAUUUUUUAUAACCGUGGGAAUCUCAAAUGUUUUCUAUGUCCAAAGACUAAUUUUACGAAGUCCAUAGAAAUUCGGAUUUUCUUGUCAUGUUAAUGGGUAUCGUUUUCAGGUAAUGUAUACAUUAAACUAAAGUUUCAAUUUAUCAUAACGGUUGAUAAAUAUCAAAAGCCGGCCAUAAUAAAGUACAACUUCGACUAAAAAGACAAUGACUUUGUCUUUUUCAUUACAACGAUUGCCGCUUAAAUCGACCUCAAAAAUAUGUCAGCAUCCCCGCCAGCAGUAUUGAAGCUUGUGGUUGGAGCCGCCGCAGAACGGCUGAGAUACGGUGGUCUAUAUAGCUUCACAAUCAUUGGGCAAUUUUUAUUCUAAUUGUUCAAACUAUAAGUAUAUACAAUCAACUUUCUAGCAAGGUGUGGUUGGAUAGUGGCAGACGAGAAUGAAAAUAUAUUUUUAUAGUUUUGUUUUAAUCGUAUCUUAAUUAAUAAUUACCGAUUAUUGAAGAAAAUAUAUUCCCCUUGCCAGAUACCAUUACUAUCAAUAAAUGCGCAAACCUCAUUAGCG
RNAcentral lists this long non-coding RNA (678 nucleotides) under Brassica rapa (field mustard). RNAcentral's name for it is "long non-coding RNA (BRAP_LNC006020)". The record is from RNAcentral. Lineage: Eukaryota; Viridiplantae; Streptophyta; Magnoliopsida; Brassicales; Brassicaceae.